RNAcentral lists this ribosomal RNA (253 nucleotides) under uncultured Caryophanales bacterium. RNAcentral's name for it is "uncultured Bacillales bacterium partial 16S ribosomal RNA". It matches the Rfam family "Bacterial small subunit ribosomal RNA", at positions 524 to 776 of the family's 1533-position model. Lineage: Bacteria; Bacillati; Bacillota; Bacilli; Caryophanales. The record is from RNAcentral.
UACGUAGGUGGCAAGCGUUGUCCGGAAUUAUUGGGCGUAAAGCGCGCGCAGGUGGUUCUUUAAGUCUGAUGUGAAAGCCCACGGCUCAACCGUGGAAGGUCAUUGGAAACUGGGGAACUUGAGUGCAGAAGAGGAUAGUGGAAUUCCAAGUGUAGCGGUGAAAUGCGUAGAGAUUUGGAGGAACACCAGUGGCGAAGGCGACUAUCUGGUCUGUAACUGACACUGAGGCACGAAAGCAUGGGGAGCAAACAGG